This is an unclassified non-coding RNA of Macaca fascicularis (crab-eating macaque), 137 nucleotides long. It matches the Rfam family "Metazoan signal recognition particle RNA". Rfam says of the family: The signal recognition particle (SRP) is a universally conserved ribonucleoprotein. It is involved in the co-translational targeting of proteins to membranes. The record is from Ensembl. Lineage: Eukaryota; Metazoa; Chordata; Mammalia; Primates; Cercopithecidae.
GCCGGGUGUAGUGGUGUGCACCUAUAGUCCCAGCUACUUGGGAGGCUGAGGUGGGAGAAUUGCUUGAGCCCAGGAGAUUGAGGCUUCAUUGAGCCAUUGUACUACAGCCUGGGCAACAAAGCAAGACCCUGUCUCAA